Molecule: ribosomal RNA, 425 nt
Filed under: uncultured bacterium
Lineage: Bacteria
Description: partial 16S ribosomal RNA
Rfam family: Bacterial small subunit ribosomal RNA
Source: RNAcentral
GUGGGGAAUAUUGGACAAUGGGGGCAACCCUGAUCCAGCAAUGCCGCGUGAGUGAUGAAGGCCUUAGGGUUGUAAAGCUCUUUUACCCGGGAUGAUAAUGACAGUACCGGGAGAAUAAGCUCCGGCUAACUCCGUGCCAGCAGCCGCGGUAAUACGGAUGGAGCUAGCGUUGUUCGGAAUUACUGGGCGUAAAGCGCGCGUAGGCGGCUACUCAAGUCAGGGGUGAAAGCCCGGGGCUCAACCCCGGAACUGCCGUUGAAACUAGGUAGCUAGAAUCUUGGAGAGGUCAGUGGAAUUCCUAGUGUAGAGGUGAAAUUCGUAGAUAUUCGGAAGAACACCAGUGGCGAAGGCGACUGACUGGACAAGUAUUGACGCUGAGGUGCGAAAGCGUGGGGAGCAAACAGGAUUAGAAACCCGUGUAGUCC